RNAcentral lists this ribosomal RNA (2906 nucleotides) under Salmonella enterica subsp. enterica serovar Paratyphi B var. L(+) tartrate +. Its description in RNAcentral is "bacterial LSU rRNA". It matches the Rfam family "Bacterial large subunit ribosomal RNA". Lineage: Bacteria; Pseudomonadati; Pseudomonadota; Gammaproteobacteria; Enterobacterales; Enterobacteriaceae. The record is from RNAcentral.
UUAAGCGACUAAGCGUACACGGUGGAUGCCCUGGCAGUCAGAGGCGAUGAAGGGCGUGCUAAUCUGCGAUAAGCGCCGGUAAGGUGAUAUGAACCGUUAUAACCGGCGAUACCCGAAUGGGGAAACCCAGUGUGAUUCGUCACACUAUCAUUAACUGAAUCCAUAGGUUAAUGAGGCGAACCGGGGGAACUGAAACAUCUAAGUACCCCGAGGAAAAGAAAUCAACCGAGAUUCCCCCAGUAGCGGCGAGCGAACGGGGAGGAGCCCAGAGCCUGAAUCAGCAUGUGUGUUAGUGGAAGCGUCUGGAAAGGCGCGCGAUACAGGGUGACAGCCCCGUACACAAAAGCGCAUGUGUUGUGAGCUCGAUGAGUAGGGCGGGACACGUGGUAUCCUGUCUGAAUAUGGGGGGACCAUCCUCCAAGGCUAAAUACUCCUGACUGACCGAUAGUGAACCAGUACCGUGAGGGAAAGGCGAAAAGAACCCCGGCGAGGGGAGUGAAAAAGAACCUGAAACCGUGUACGUACAAGCAGUGGGAGCACAGGUUUACCUGUGUGACUGCGUACCUUUUGUAUAAUGGGUCAGCGACUUAUAUUCUGUAGCAAGGUUAACCGUAUAGGGGAGCCGGAGGGAAACCGAGUCUUAAUUGGGCGUUAAGUUGCAGGGUAUAGACCCGAAACCCGGUGAUCUAGCCAUGGGCAGGUUGAAGGUUGGGUAACACUAACUGGAGGACCGAACCGACUAAUGUUGAAAAAUUAGCGGAUGACCUGUGGCUGGGGGUGAAAGGCCAAUCAAACCGGGAGAUAGCUGGUUCUCCCCGAAAGCUAUUUAGGUAGCGCCUCGUGAAUUCAUCUCCGGGGGUAGAGCACUGUUUCGGCUAGGGGGCCAUCCCGGCUUACCAACCCGAUGCAAACUGCGAAUACCGGAGAAUGUUAUCACGGGAGACACACGGCGGGUGCUAACGUCCGUCGUGAAGAGGGAAACAACCCAGACCGCCAGCUAAGGUCCCAAAGUCAUGGUUAAGUGGGAAACGAUGUGGGAAGGCCCAGACAGCCAGGAUGUUGGCUUAGAAGCAGCCAUCAUUUAAAGAAAGCGUAAUAGCUCACUGGUCGAGUCGGCCUGCGCGGAAGAUGUAACGGGGCUAAACCAUGCACCGAAGCUGCGGCAGCGACGCUUAUGCGUUGUUGGGUAGGGGAGCGUUCUGUAAGCCGUUGAAGGUGGCCUGUGAGGGUUGCUGGAGGUAUCAGAAGUGCGAAUGCUGACAUAAGUAACGAUAAAGCGGGUGAAAAGCCCGCUCGCCGGAAGACCAAGGGUUCCUGUCCAACGUUAAUCGGGGCAGGGUGAGUCGACCCCUAAGGCGAGGCCGAAAGGCGUAGUCGAUGGGAAACGGGUUAAUAUUCCCGUACUUGGUGUUACUGCGAAGGGGGGACGGAGAAGGCUAUGUUGGCCGGGCGACGGUUGUCCCGGUUUAAGCGUGUAGGUGUGUGUUCCAGGUAAAUCCGGUUCACUUUAACACUGAGGCGUGAUGACGAGGCACUACGGUGCUGAAGUAACAAAUGCCCUGCUUCCAGGAAAAGCCUCUAAGCAUCAGGUAACAUCAAAUCGUACCCCAAACCGACACAGGUGGUCAGGUAGAGAAUACCAAGGCGCUUGAGAGAACUCGGGUGAAGGAACUAGGCAAAAUGGUGCCGUAACUUCGGGAGAAGGCACGCUGAUAUGUAGGUGAAGCGGUUUACCCGUGGAGCUGAAAUCAGUCGAAGAUACCAGCUGGCUGCAACUGUUUAUUAAAAACACAGCACUGUGCAAACACGAAAGUGGACGUAUACGGUGUGACGCCUGCCCGGUGCCGGAAGGUUAAUUGAUGGGGUCAGCGCAAGCGAAGCUCCUGAUCGAAGCCCCGGUAAACGGCGGCCGUAACUAUAACGGUCCUAAGGUAGCGAAAUUCCUUGUCGGGUAAGUUCCGACCUGCACGAAUGGCGUAAUGAUGGCCAGGCUGUCUCCACCCGAGACUCAGUGAAAUUGAACUCGCUGUGAAGAUGCAGUGUACCCGCGGCAAGACGGAAAGACCCCGUGAACCUUUACUAUAGCUUGACACUGAACAUUGAGCCUUGAUGUGUAGGAUAGGUGGGAGGCUUUGAAGUGUGGACGCCAGUCUGCAUGGAGCCGACCUUGAAAUACCACCCUUUAAUGUUUGAUGUUCUAACGUGGACCCGUGAUCCGGGUUGCGGACAGUGUCUGGUGGGUAGUUUGACUGGGGCGGUCUCCUCCUAAAGAGUAACGGAGGAGCACGAAGGUUGGCUAAUCCUGGUCGGACAUCAGGAGGUUAGUGCAAUGGCAUAAGCCAGCUUGACUGCGAGCGUGACGGCGCGAGCAGGUGCGAAAGCAGGUCAUAGUGAUCCGGUGGUUCUGAAUGGAAGGGCCAUCGCUCAACGGAUAAAAGGUACUCCGGGGAUAACAGGCUGAUACCGCCCAAGAGUUCAUAUCGACGGCGGUGUUUGGCACCUCGAUGUCGGCUCAUCACAUCCUGGGGCUGAAGUAGGUCCCAAGGGUAUGGCUGUUCGCCAUUUAAAGUGGUACGCGAGCUGGGUUUAGAACGUCGUGAGACAGUUCGGUCCCUAUCUGCCGUGGGCGCUGGAGAACUGAGGGGGGCUGCUCCUAGUACGAGAGGACCGGAGUGGACGCAUCACUGGUGUUCGGGUUGUCAUGCCAAUGGCACUGCCCGGUAGCUAAAUGCGGAAGAGAUAAGUGCUGAAAGCAUCUAAGCACGAAACUUGCCCCGAGAUGAGUUCUCCCUGAGACUUAGAGUCUCCUGAAGGAACGUUGAAGACGACGACGUUGAUAGGCCGGGUGUGUAAGCGCAGCGAUGCGUUGAGCUAACCGGUACUAAUGAACCGUGAGGCUUAACCUU